AAUUUCAAGGUAAAUGGACAAAGGUUGAGGCAUUAUUUAGCUGGUGAGCCAAUUGAGAAAAUAGCAACUUGCUAUCUUUCUCAUUCUCCAUGAAAUUUUGAGUAAGUAUGGUCAAGCUAAAGACCUAAACUUAGCAUUUUUGUGCAUAACUCCCAAUUUUUCUUUCAUUUGUUUUAAGUUUUUUUUUUAUAUACUCCUUAUUCAGAGUUUAACAUUGUUCUAAUUUCCUUGUGCAGAUGGGAUACAAUGCAUUGCAAGCAAAUGAGCAUAUAAAAAAAAAAAAAAAAAAAAAAAAAAAAAAAACAUUUCAUGUCUUUAAUUUCAUUGCUUAAUUACUUCAUAUUUUGAACUUAUUUUGCUUGUGUUGUUUUUAUUUUACUUGAACCAUUUACUUAUUCAGUUUUUUUUAGUUCCUCAUAAAAUACAUUUUUCUUUUAUAUUUUUAGUACAUUGCUCACUUGCUUUUAUGUGCUACUUCGGAUUUACACUUGAUGGCUAUAUUUUUGAGCUUAACUUCCCUAUUCCAAAUUUUUGAGAUUAAUCGAUUUAAUUAAUGGAUUCCAUUGCACUGUUUCUUUUGCAAUGAGUGCAGCAGCUGUCCAAAUUUUAUCUAAUUAAAUUGGCUGCACUUCAAUGAGGUAACAAUUCUCAUCUCAGCUUGUGUCACUGUCAACACAAGUUGUGCUAUCGCUUAUGCAACAGGGUAAUAAUUCUUUAUGCACAUAUGAUCUACCCAUUUUCUGCACAUUAUCCCAUUCCAUGCACUCUUCUAACAUUGAGGACAAUGUUCAUUCUGAGUAUGGGGGAGAGGGUAAAUUUUUUGCAAAAAUUAUUUUUCCUUUUUCAUUUGCAUAUAGUGACACAUUCAUUACUACGUAUAUACACUUGCAUAUAGCCUCAUAUACUUAGUUACGCAUACUUAGUUGCAAUUAGGUUGACUAUACAUUUACACUCAUGCAUAUCAUUCACUCAUUUAAAAUUUUUGAAUUUUUAAACCAGUCUUUGAAUUCCAUAAGCCACUUAUUCAAGCAAUCCAGCUUGCCUUUAGAUGGUUAGUGGAAUGAAAGUUCCAGCUGGGUACAAAGUCUUAAGCAUUAUUCUUUCUCUUACUUAAUAGCUGAAAAUUAAUAUAUCAAUUUAGGUAUGCAGUGCUAGUUAGUUAUUUUGAGUUUUGAGUGUCUGGAUAAGCCUUUAAGGAAGAAAAUGGUCAUUGUCGUCUCACCAUUCCUAGAACAAGCAUCUUAGAUCUUUCAAAGCGAAAUUUUUAACUUGCAUUUGAUAAGAAUAUGAUUUAGGCAUUCCUUCAUAUUUUAAACCUCACAUUUAGCCUUAACCUACCUCAAUUUCAUUUUAACCCUUGCAAACCCCCUUGAACCUUAAUCUCCUAAUUUCUUUGGAACCCAAAUCAUUUACCUAGCCAUUAAACCUAAACACUACCACCUAUCUAUGAGAAUAGUAUUUUAGCAAUUAAGUGCAUAAAAAAAUGAUAAUGAUAUAAAAAAAAAAAUAAAUAAUAAUAAUAAUAAUAAUAAAAUAAUAAUAAAAAAAAAAAAAAAUCUCGGAGGAUUGAAACAUCUUGAAAAGUGCUAGAGUAAUUGUCAAAAGUUGAAAAGGUCACCAAAAUAUCCCAAAGGUAAUUUUGGGUGUGACAUGAAAUAGGGACACAUACAAAAUCAAAAUAAAAUAAAAUAAAAUAAGCAUAAAAAAAAUAGUCCCUUUGUAUAAUCAUUGUGAUAGCACUUGAGAUUCAUUGUGAAUUUCUUUCCUCUUGAUAUAAAAAAAAAAAAAAUAUAUAUAUAUAUUGGAUGCACUUUGAGUUUCAUGAUUAAUAUUAUUCUCAUAUUUUGUUUACCUUAUUCCCUUUCUUUGUUAACCACAAUUUUACCCUAUUAGACCCCAUUACAACCCUUAAAAAGACCUAAUGAUUCUUUGAAAAAUGCUUGUUACAUUAGUAGAGUUAGAUCUUUUAUGCUUGCAUAUGGGUUUGGCAAUAUAAUCUUCCAUACAUUACUCACCAUCUAUUUGAGACACAUUGGCUAUCUAUUUCAUUUAGGUUUGUUUUGGCACAAUUGACUCUUGUAGUUGGUUGGUAUUUGUUGCUUGGGUUGAUUGGUUAAUUCUUAGCUAUUCUGUAAUAGUUGAGAGUGCUUGCUUCAUUCUUUGUGCUUUUGCUGGUGGGAAUUUGGAAUGUUGGUGGCUAGAGGUAAGUUGGUGGUUUGGAUUAGUGAAUUUUGUGUUUUCAAAGACUGAUUCUAUUCCCUUCCAAAUGAGUUUUAAUGAAAUUUUGCUUGAGGACAAGCAAGAGUUUGAGUAUGGGGGAAUUUGAUGCAUGCAUUUUAUAUCAUCAUUUAGGAGUUAAAUCUGGAGAAAUUUGAUGUAUUUUGAUCAGAGUAGCCAUUUGGAGGAGAUUAAAAUCGAAUUGCAAAAAAAAAUUUUGAAGUUGAGAAAAAAAAUGGCCGAGAGCGACACAACCCGCGACACAACUGACUCGGCUUAUGUCGUUUUUACUGGAAAAUUUUUUGACGUGGCAUUUCCGUUACUCCAGCCUUUUUACCUCACUUUUUCUAGAUCCUUCCCCCUUUUACCCAUUCUAGAACAA
Long non-coding RNA from Hevea brasiliensis (rubber tree), 2599 nucleotides. RefSeq lists it as uncharacterized. NCBI's taxonomy places the organism in Eukaryota, Viridiplantae, Streptophyta, Magnoliopsida, Malpighiales, Euphorbiaceae. The record is from RefSeq and is a predicted model, not a curated record. The transcript has 2 exons.